CAUUUUUUUUUUUCUAUUCACUCAUGAUCUGGCCUGGUCGACCCAAUCAUGAUAUUGAAGGAGGGGACCUUUUCUCGAAAAAAAAAAUUCUUGCAACUACGAAAACCACAACACAAGCACCCCUUUUCCAUUCAUUCUAUCUAAGAAAAAGAAUUCAGCAUAGACCACGACCCCCCCAUUUUUGCAUUUCUUUAUCUAUAUUA
Molecule: long non-coding RNA, 203 nt
Filed under: Nicotiana benthamiana
Lineage: Eukaryota; Viridiplantae; Streptophyta; Magnoliopsida; Solanales; Solanaceae
Description: long non-coding RNA (NBEN_LNC032490)
Source: RNAcentral